CGAGCGAACGGACGAGAAGCUUGCUUCUCCGAUGUUAGCGGCGGACGGGUGAGUAACACGUGGAUAACCUACCUAUAAGACUGGGAUAACUUCGGGAAACCGGAGCUAAUACCGGAUAAUAUUUUGAACCGCAUGGUUCAAAAGUGAAAGACGGUCUUGCUGUCACUUAUAGAUGGAUCCGCGCUGCAUUAGCUAGUUGGUAAGGUAACGGCUUACCAAGGCAACGAUGCAUAGCCGACCUGAGAGGGUGAUCGGCCACACUGGAACUGAGACACGGUCCAGACUCCUACGGGAGGCAGCAGUAGGGAAUCUUCCGCAAUGGGCGAAAGCCUGACGGAGCAACGCCGCGUGAGUGAUGAAGGUCUUCGGAUCGUAAAACUCUGUUAUUAGGGAAGAACAUAUGUGUAAGUAACUGUGCACAUCUUGACGGUACCUAAUCAGAAAGCCACGGCUAACUACGUGCCAGCAGCCGCGGUAAUACGUAGGUGGCAAGCGUUAUCCGGAAUUAUUGGGCGUAAAGCGCGCGUAGGCGGUUUUUUAAGUCUGAUGUGAAAGCCCACGGCUCAACCGUGGAGGGUCAUUGGAAACUGGAAAACUUGAGUGCAGAAGAGGAAAGUGGAAUUCCAUGUGUAGCGGUGAAAUGCGCAGAGAUAUGGAGGAACACCAGUGGCGAAGGCGACUUUCUGGUCUGUAACUGACGCUGAUGUGGUGAAAGCGUGGGGAUCAAACAGGAUUAGAUACCCUGGUAGUCCACGCCG
Molecule: ribosomal RNA, 758 nt
Filed under: uncultured Staphylococcus sp.
Lineage: Bacteria; Bacillati; Bacillota; Bacilli; Caryophanales; Staphylococcaceae
Description: bacterial SSU rRNA
Rfam family: Bacterial small subunit ribosomal RNA
Source: RNAcentral